RNAcentral lists this ribosomal RNA (763 nucleotides) under uncultured Streptococcus sp. Its description in RNAcentral is "bacterial SSU rRNA". It matches the Rfam family "Bacterial small subunit ribosomal RNA", at positions 28 to 776 of the family's 1533-position model. The record is from RNAcentral. Lineage: Bacteria; Bacillati; Bacillota; Bacilli; Lactobacillales; Streptococcaceae.
GACGAACGCGGCGGCGUGCUUAAUACAUGCAAGUAGAACGCUGAAGGAGGGGCUUGCUUCUCUGGAUGAGUUGCGAGCGGGUGAGUAACGCGUAGGUAACCUGCCUGGUAGCGGGGGAUAACUAUUGGAAACGAUAGCUAAUACCGCAUAAGAGUAGAUGUUGCAUGACAUUUGCUUAAAAGGUGCAAUUGCAUCACUACCAGAUGGACCUGCGUUGUAUUAGCUAGUUGGUGGGGUAACGGCUCACCAAGGCGACGAUACAUAGCCGACCUGAGAGGGUGAUCGGCCACACUGGGACUGAGACACGGCCCAGACUCCUACGGGAGGCAGCAGUAGGGAAUCUUCGGCAAUGGACGGAAGUCUGACCGAGCAACGCCGCGUGAGUGAAGAAGGUUUUCGGAUCGUAAAGCUCUGUUGUAAGAGAAGAACGAGUGUGAGAGUGGAAAGUUCACACUGUGACGGUAUCUUACCAGAAAGGGACGGCUAACUACGUGCCAGCAGCCGCGGUAAUACGUAGGUGGCAAGCGUUAUCCGGAUUUAUUGGGCGUAAAGAGAGUGCAGGCGGUUUUCUAAGUCUGAUGUGAAAGCCUUCGGCUUAACCGGAGAAGUGCAUCGGAAACUGGAUAACUUGAGUGCAGAAGAGGGUAGUGGAACUCCAUGUGUAGCGGUGGAAUGCGUAGAUAUAUGGAAGAACUCCAGUGGCGAAGGCGGCUACCUGGUCUGCAACUGACGCUGAGACUCGAAAGCAUGGGUAGCGAACAGG